AUUGUAUCCACGAUUGGGGAAUUUUCCGCAAUGGGCGAAAGCCUGACGGAGCAAUACCGCGUGAGGGAGGAAGGCUCUUGGGUUGUAAACCUCUUUUCUUAGGGAAGAAAAAAAUGACGGUACCUAAGGAAUCAGCAUCGGCUAACUCCGUGCCAGCAGCCGCGGUAAUACGGAGGAUGCAAGCGUUAUCCGGAAUGAUUGGGCGUAAAGCGUCCGCAGGUGGCAUUUCAAGUCUGCGGUCAAAGGUCGAGGCUCAACCUCGAACAGGCCGUGGAAACUGAAAAGCUAGAGUGUGGUAGGGGCAGAGGGAAUUCCCAGUGUAGCGGUGAAAUGCGUAGAGAUUGGGAAGAACACCGGUGGCGAAAGCGCUCUGCUAGGCCAAGACUGACACUGAGGGACGAAAGCUAGGGGAGCGAAUGGGAUUAGAUACCCCAGUAGUCAAUCGUGGAUACAAU
Molecule: ribosomal RNA, 455 nt
Filed under: uncultured cyanobacterium
Lineage: Bacteria; Bacillati; Cyanobacteriota
Description: bacterial SSU rRNA
Rfam family: Bacterial small subunit ribosomal RNA
Source: RNAcentral